GGAUUAGCUAGUUGGUGAGGUAAAAGGCUCACCAAGGCGACGAUCCAUAGCUGGUCUGAGAGGAUGAUCAGUCACACUGGAACUGAGACACGGUCCAGACUCCUACGGGAGGCAGCAGUGGGGAAUAUUUGGACAAUGGGCGAAAGCCUGAUCCAGCCAUGCCGCGUGUGUGAAAGAAGGUCUUCGGAUUGUAAAGCACUUUAAGUUGGGAGGAAGGGUAGUAACCUAAUACGUUGCUACUUUGACGUUACCGACAGAAUAAGCACCGGCUAACUUCGUG
RNAcentral lists this ribosomal RNA (280 nucleotides) under uncultured bacterium. RNAcentral's name for it is "partial 16S ribosomal RNA". It matches the Rfam family "Bacterial small subunit ribosomal RNA", at positions 238 to 507 of the family's 1533-position model. The record is from RNAcentral.